This 93-nucleotide transfer RNA is filed under the name Salmo salar (Atlantic salmon). It matches the Rfam family "tRNA". From Rfam's summary of the family: Transfer RNA (tRNA) molecules are approximately 80 nucleotides in length. Their secondary structure includes four short double-helical elements and three loops (D, anti-codon, and T loops). The record is from Rfam by way of RNAcentral. Lineage: Eukaryota; Metazoa; Chordata; Actinopteri; Salmoniformes; Salmonidae.
UUCCCUGUGGCUCAGUUGGUAGAGCAUGGUGUUUGCAACGCCAGCAUGGUGUGUGCAACACCAGGGUUGUGGGUUCGAUUCCCACGGGGGGAC